GGGCCAGUGGCGCAAUGGGUAACGUGCUUGACUACAGAUCAGGCGACUGUAGGUUCGAGUCCUACCUGGCUUG
Molecule: non-coding RNA, 73 nt
Organism: Rhincodon typus (whale shark)
Lineage: Eukaryota; Metazoa; Chordata; Chondrichthyes; Orectolobiformes; Rhincodontidae
Source: the annotation of a RefSeq genome assembly